Molecule: unclassified non-coding RNA, 1723 nt
Filed under: Penaeus japonicus
Lineage: Eukaryota; Metazoa; Arthropoda; Malacostraca; Decapoda; Penaeidae
Description: uncharacterized LOC122253377, transcript variant X1
Source: RNAcentral
GAAUUAUACAAACACAUAAUUAAUUUUACAAUGAUACUGUACUUUCCAGAGACUAUAGAUUUACUUUCUUUACUGACUCUUUAAAGUUCUUUCAAUGCACGUUUUAGGCAUUCCUACCAGAGUUCAGUCUAUGCUAAUUUACAUCCGGUUGGUAUUCCUGCCACGAUGAAAACAAAUGAGACGGCAAAUUAUUUCGAAAUUUUCUUCGACAAUCUGAUAUUCUGGAAACAACAACACAAAAUCAAGGAGUUUAAAACGAGAAGUUUUAUUGGUAGAUGUAUAAAAGUCAUCCAUACAGCUACCACAAUUGCACAACUACUGACAAUGUGUUGCCAGGCAUCCAUUUCUACAAAAUCAACCUUUGGGACAAUAUUUUCAAAGGAAGCACCAGUGACGAGUUGUAAUAAAAUGGCACACUCAAGUAAAAAUCAAAAAAUUUAUAAAGGAAUGAAAGAGUGGCAAAAUAAAUGCCAUCAGAGAAGAUGAAGUUCAUGAAGGAGACAUCUAAUAACAUGUCAAAUACUAUGACCGCAGCCUCAUGCCCACAAGACUCUUUCAAACCAAUUCAGAGAGAAUCAGAGAGCGAGUCAUGUUGCUGGAUGUUCAGGAUGCAGGAGUGGCAGUGGAAAAUAUAUCACAGAUGUAUAAUGUGAUUAGAAAAGCCGUAAGUCAAGACGUUCAAAGUGAUAAGUCCAGAAAAUCAACACAAUCAAAUGGAGAGGCAGCAAGUUUCAAGGACUCUUGUUUUGCAAAUAGGGGUGGCUAGAAGUACAAGAGAAGAUGCUGUCAUAUCUAAACAAAGCCUUGUUAGUCACCCCAUAAUUGCAACAUUAAACGCCAAGAAUAUACACACUGGAAACAGAAUUGAGAGGAAUGUCACCCUGUAUGCCUAGAACAGCCUCUUCCCAUGGUUUUGUCACAUGCAGCCGUCUCUGUGCCUCCCAAUCAUCAAGGGAGUCCUAUCUUUGAAGAAAGUGAGCAUAGUCCAUCAGUUGCAACAAAAAUCAGUACAUAUCUAUCAGUUAAGUCAAAGGAAGAAUUCAGUAGUCAGCCAAGACUCAAUAGUCCUUCUAAAGGAGUCUGAAAUCAAAGUGGAAGAGGAGUUGCAAGACAGCUUUGAAGUAAAGGAAGAAGCACUAGAAACAUUGGAUUCUGUUAAUGAAAAUCAUGUUACUUUUGUAACCAUAGCAUGUCCUCAGGUAAUGAUUUUUACUUUCAUUACCCAGUUCAGAUGUACUUAAAAUGUUUUUUAAUUCUCAGAAGACUUGUGAGAGAGUAUGUGUCUUUGUGUGCUCUCAUGUCAUAACAAAUUAUUGUAGCAUUUUAAGAAAGAUAAUAGUUCCUUUAUUUUCCUCCAAGGUGGACAAUGAGAGAGACAUCCUACACUCUUUUUGUUAUUUUCUGCCCCCCUUCUGUCUCCUUCAACUCAAUCAUGAUGGGACGUAUUUUCACCUUCUGCUUACACCAGGAAGAUAACAAGCGCGCGACACCUUGUUCCGAGGUGUUGUCUCGCUGCACAGGGCCACACUGAGCCUCUUAGAGCUUUUUUCACCUACCCUAUUCUUUUGGUUUGCAUGAUUCAUCUACAAUGUAAAGGCAUGUAAAACAAUGCUUUUCUAGUGUUUCUUUAUUGAACUUAGCCUAUAUUCUUUACUUCUAUGUAAUGAUACCAAUGGAAAGUGGAAGCUUUCUUUUAGUGGGGUUUGAAAAAAGAUUCUUUUUA